ACGCGAAAGCCCCCUUCGGGGGGCAAGUAGAGUGGCGCACGGGUGAGUAACACGUAGGUAAUCUACCUUUGGAUGGGGAAUAACAACCGGAAACGGUUGCUAAUACCGCAUAAUGCAGCGGCACCUAAUGGUGACAGUUGUUAAAGCGGGGGAUCGCAAGACCUCGCGUCUGAAGAGGAGCCUGCGGCGGAUUAGCUAGUUGGUAAGGUAACGGCUUACCAAGGCGAUGAUCCGUAGCCGGCCUGAGAGGGCGGUCGGCCACACUGACACUGACAUACGGGUCAGACUCCUACGGGAGGCAGCAGUCGGGAAUUUUGGGCAAUGGGCGAAAGCCUGACCCAGCAACGCCGCGUGAAGGAUGAAAUCCUUCGGGAUGUAAACUUCGCAAGAACGGGAAGAAUAAGUAAGGGUUAAUAUCUCUUACGAUGACGGUACUGUUUGUAAGCUCCGGCUAACUCCGUGCCAGCAGCCGCGGUAAUACGGGGGGAGCAAGCGUUGUUCGGAUUUACUGGGCGUAAAGGGCGCGUAGGCGGCCACCGCAAGUCGACUGUGAAAUCUCCGGGCUUAACCCGGAAAGGUCAGCCGAUACUGCGGGGCUAGAGUGCAGAAGGGGCAACUGGAAUUCUCGGUGUAGCGGUGAAAUGCGUAGAUAUCGAGAGGAACACCUGCGGCGAAGGCGGGUUGCUGGGCUGACACUGACGCU
This 703-nucleotide ribosomal RNA is filed under the name uncultured bacterium. RNAcentral's name for it is "bacterial SSU rRNA". It matches the Rfam family "Bacterial small subunit ribosomal RNA", at positions 66 to 747 of the family's 1533-position model. The record is from RNAcentral.